RNAcentral lists this ribosomal RNA (380 nucleotides) under uncultured eukaryote. RNAcentral's name for it is "partial 18S ribosomal RNA". It matches the Rfam family "Eukaryotic small subunit ribosomal RNA", at positions 592 to 976 of the family's 1831-position model. The record is from RNAcentral.
CAAUAGCGUAUAUUAAAGUUGUUGCGGUUAAAAAGCUCGUAGUUGGAUUUCUGCCGAGGACGACCGGUCCGCCCUCUGGGUGUGUAUCUGGUUUGGCCUGGGCAUCUUCUUGGAGAACGUAGCUGCACUUGACUGUGUGGUGCGGUGUCCAGGACUUUUACUUUGAGGAAAUUAGAGUGUUUCAAGCAGGCACACGCCUUGAAUACAUUAGCAUGGAAUAAUAAGAUAGGACCUCGGUUCUAUUUUGUUGGUUUCUAGAGCUGAGGUAAUGAUUAAUAGGGAUAGUUGGGGGCAUUCGUAUUUAACUGUCAGAGGUGAAAUUCUUGGAUUUGUUAAAGACGGACUACUGUGAAAGCAUUUGCCAAGGAUGUUUUCAUUGA